UUGUUGAAUAAUCUCUCAACCAUGUGAAAAGGUGCAGCCACAAUUUUUUGUUCAAAUUGGUAGGUCACCAACCACAAUCUUGUUCAAAUUGAUAAGUCACCAACCACAUCAUUUGUUCAAAUUGGUAGGUCACCAACCCCACUAACCAUGUCUUUUUUCACCACAUUCUUUGCCUAUAUAAAGGCCAUUCAGGAGCAAGCUAAAAUACACCAACACAAAAACAAUUCUUUUGUGUGUUAUAUCCGAGAGAGAAUUUUGAGAGUUACUCACAAUUUGGUGAGUGGUAGUUAGUGUCCAAAAAUUACUUUUGUGUUAUAUCCGAGAGAGAAUUUUGAGAGUUACUCACAAUAUGGUGAGUGGUAGUUAGUGUUCAAAAAUUAGAGUGUAUAUUGUACAAGAGUGUUUGUGAGGUUUCUUUGGGUACAAUAUUUGUCCCAAAGGGUGUUCUUGUAUCGUCUCUAUUUUUAGUGUUUCUCAAGUUGGUCACUUGAGAUUUUGGUGUACCAUUAUUUUUUAUAGUGGAUAUUUCUCGGAAUUUGGCCCGUGGUUUUUCCCUCUAAAUUUGGGAGGGUUUUCCACGUAAACUUUGGUGUUCCGAUUGCUUGUGUUAUUUUUCAUAUUGUUCAACG
Molecule: long non-coding RNA, 629 nt
Filed under: Nicotiana benthamiana
Lineage: Eukaryota; Viridiplantae; Streptophyta; Magnoliopsida; Solanales; Solanaceae
Description: long non-coding RNA (NBEN_LNC019924)
Source: RNAcentral